AAGGAUCAUUACAGAGUUCAUGCCCUCACGGGUAGAUCUCCCACCCUUGAAUAUUAUACCUUAGUUGCUUUGGCAGGCCGGGGCAACCCCCGGGGCUUCGGCCUUGGUGUGCCUGCCAGAGGAAACAAACUCUGUUUUUAGUGAUGUCUGAGUACUAUAUAAUAGUUAAAACUUUCAACAACGGAUCUCUUGGUUCUGGCAUCGAUGAAGAACGCAGCGAAAUGCGAUAAGUAAUGUGAAUUGCAGAAUUCAGUGAAUCAUCGAAUCUUUGAACGCACAUUGCGCCCCGUGGUAUUCCGCGGGGCAUGCCUGUUCGAGCGUCAUUUCAACCCAUCAAGCUUCGGCUUGGUCUUGGGGCCUGCGAUUCCGCAGCCUCUAAACCCAGUGGCGGUGCCUCCGAGCUCUGAGCGUAGUAAUUCUUCUCGCUAUAGGGUCUCGGUGGUGUCUUGCCAGUAACCCCCAAUUUUUUACAGGUUGACCUCGGAUCAGGUAGGGAUACCCGCUGAACUUAAGCAUAUCAAUAGGCGGAGGAAAAGAAACCAACAGGGAUUACCUCAGUAACGGCGAGUGAAGCGGUAACAGCUCAAAUUUGAAAUCUGCCGCAAGGCCGAGUUGUAAUUUGUAGAAGAUGCUUUGGGUAUGGCCCCGGUCUAAGUUCGUUGGAACACGACGUCAUAGAGGGUGAGAAUCCCGUAUGUGACUGGGUGCUUUUGCCUAUGUAAAGCUCUUUCGACGAGUCGAGUUGUUUGGGAAUGCAGCUCAAAAUGGGUGGUAUAUUUCAUCUAAAGCUAAAUAUUGGCCAGAGACCGAUAGCGCACAAGUAGAGUGAUCGAAAGAUGAAAAGCACUUUGGAAAGAGAGUUAAACAGUACGUGAAAUUGUUGAAAGGGAAGCGCUUGCAACCAGACUUGCGCGCUGUUGAUCAUCCAGGCUUCUGUCUGGUGCACUCGGCAGCGUUCAGGCCAGCAUCGGUUCUGGUGGUGGGAUAAAGGCCUUGGGAAUGUAGCUUCUUUCGGGGAGUGUUAUAGCCCUCGGUGCAAUGCCGCCUAUCGGGACCGAGGACCGCGCUUCGGCUAGGAUGCUGGCGUAAUGGUUGUAAGCGAC
RNAcentral lists this ribosomal RNA (1103 nucleotides) under uncultured Lemonniera. RNAcentral's name for it is "eukaryotic LSU rRNA". The stretch from base 476 to 1103 matches the Rfam family "Eukaryotic large subunit ribosomal RNA", at positions 1 to 648 of the family's 3401-position model. Lineage: Eukaryota; Fungi; Ascomycota. The record is from RNAcentral.